UGGAUCCUGGCUCAGGACGAACGCUGGCGGCGCGCUUAACACAUGCAAGUCGAGCGAGAACCCAGGCUUCGGCCUGGGGGAAAGCGGCGAACGGGUGAGUAACACGUGGGUAAUCUGCCCUCGGCAUCGGGAUAGCCCGGGGAAACCCGGAUUAAUACCGAAUGGCCCAGCAGCUCUUCGGAGCGGCUGGAAAAGGUAGCUUCGGCCUCCGGCCGAGGAGGAGCCCGCGGCGGAUUAGCUUGUUGGUGGGGUAACGGCCUACCAAGGCUCCGAUCCGUAGCUGGUCUGAGAGGACGAUCAGCCACACUGGGACUGAGACACGGCCCAGACUCCUACGGGAGGUAGCAGUGGGGAAUCUUGCGCAAUGGGCGAAAGCCUGACGCAGCGACGCCGCGUGAGGGAAGAAGGCCUUCGGGUUGUAAACCUCUUUCAGGAGGGACGAAGCCACUCGGGUUAAUAGCCCAGAGGGUGACGGUACCUCCAGAAGAAGCCCCGGCUAACUACGUGCCAGCAGCCGCGGUAAUACGUAGGGGGCUAGCGUUGUCCGGAUUUAUUGGGCGUAAAGAGCGUGUAGGCGGCCAGGUAGGUCUGCUGUGAAAACUCGAGGCUCAACCUCGAGACGUCGGCGGAAACCAUCUGGCUAGAGUCCGGAAGAGGAGAGUGGAAUUCCUGGUGUAGCGGUGAAAUGCGCAGAUAUCAGGAAGAACACCCGUGGCGAAGGCGGCUCUCUGGGACGGUACUGACGCUGAGACGCGAAAGCGUGGGGAGCGAACAGGAUUAGAUACCCUGGUAGUCCACGCCGUAAACGAUGGGUGCUAGGUGUGGGCGGUGUCGACUCCGUCCGUGCCGAAGCUAACGCAUUAAGCACCCCGCCUGGGGAGCCCGGCUGCAAGGCU
Molecule: ribosomal RNA, 896 nt
Filed under: uncultured bacterium
Lineage: Bacteria
Description: bacterial SSU rRNA
Rfam family: Bacterial small subunit ribosomal RNA
Source: RNAcentral